RNAcentral lists this ribosomal RNA (497 nucleotides) under uncultured bacterium. RNAcentral's name for it is "partial 16S ribosomal RNA". It matches the Rfam family "Bacterial small subunit ribosomal RNA", at positions 28 to 507 of the family's 1533-position model. The record is from RNAcentral.
GACGAACGCUGGCGGCGUGCCUAAUACAUGCCAGUAGAACGCUGAAGAGAGGAGCUUGCUCUUCUUGGAUGAGUUGCGAACGGGUGAGUAACGCGUAGGUAACCUGCCUGGUAGCGGGGGAUAACUAUUGGAAACGAUAGCUAAUACCGCAUAAAAUGGAUUAUCGCAUGAUAAUCCAUUGAAAGGUGCAAAUGCAUCACUACCAGAUGGACCUGCGUUGUAUUAGCUAGUUGGUGGGGUAACGGCUCAUCAAGGCGACGAUACAUAGCCGACCUGAGAGGGUGAUCGGCCACACUGGGACUGAGACACGGCCCAGACUCCUACGGGAGGCAGCAGUAGGGAAUCUUCGGCAAUGGACGGAAGUCUGACCGAGCAACGCCGCGUGAGUGAAGAAGGUUUUCGGAUCGUAAAGCUCUGUUGUAAGAGAAGAACGAGUGUGAGAGUGGAAAGUUCACACUGUGACGGUAUCUUACCAGAAAGGGACGGCUAACUACGUG